UACGGAGGAUCCAAGCGUUAUCCGGAUUUAUUGGGUGUAAAGGGUCCGUAGGUGGCUAUGUAAGUCCGGUGUGAAAUCCCACAGCUCAACUGUGGAACUGCAUUGGAAACUACAUGGCUUGAAUACCGGAGAGGUUAGGGGAAUUCUCGGUGUAAGGGUGAAAUCUGUAGAUAUCGAGAGGAACACCAGUGGCGAAGGCGCCUAACUGGCCGGUUAUUGACACUGAGGGACGAAAGCAAGGGGAGCAAACAGGAUUAGAAACCCGGGUAGU
Molecule: ribosomal RNA, 271 nt
Filed under: uncultured bacterium
Lineage: Bacteria
Description: partial 16S ribosomal RNA
Rfam family: Bacterial small subunit ribosomal RNA
Source: RNAcentral